Molecule: unclassified non-coding RNA, 1669 nt
Filed under: Schistocerca americana (American grasshopper)
Lineage: Eukaryota; Metazoa; Arthropoda; Insecta; Orthoptera; Acrididae
Description: transmembrane protein 268, transcript variant X2
Source: RNAcentral
UUUGGCGUAGUCGUAUGCGCUACUUGUAUGUGUUGUGUGGGAGUGGUGUUAAAAGUGGGAAUUUGACAGCAGAGUCAGUUACUAGUAUGUGAUGGAACUUUGUGAUCGUCCCUUGUCAGUAAACGAAGCCGCGUACAUAAUUUUUCAUUAGUCCCCAAAGAAAUAGUGUUAGGGCUGUCUGCUAAUUUCGUCAACCUGUCAGAUGCCGAAGAGUUGAGAAUGAGUACAGAUGACGCCUCACAGUUCCCUAAGGUUUCCGAGGGAAAUUCCAAAAAAUGGGUGUCGUUCGAAGAGGAAGAACAAGAAAAAAUGGACAAAGAAAUGAGCAAAGUGGCACCAAAAGUACCUUUACCCGUCACUAAUGAAGACGCAGACGACGAAUACCAUGGCGCUAUUAUCAAUCCAGAAACAGUGCAUGUGAAUCUCGACCGAAGCUUGAGCAGAUCCGUUUCGCCGGAAAAGCUUCCAGAACCACCAAAAAGGAAAGUUAUAAAACCUUCGCCGAGCGAGGCAUCAGAAUAUAGCGGUACAGUUAUGGGCUCUGAAUCUGUCCACCUCAACAUAGAUAAAACAUCAUACAGUCGAGUUUCAGCAGAAGAAGCUGAUAAAAGGAGCAGUGUGCCAGCGACGAAAGCAAACAGUACAGAAGUGACACUUCGUACUGUAGACCUGAGGGACGUCAGUAAUGGCACUCAUGCUGCUAGUAACAGAGGACCGUCGAUCAAUAGUGCAAUUAUUAGACAAGGAUUUGCUAAUGGGGACAUAAUUGUAACACUGCUUCCAGUCAAUACAAAAUGGCCAUGGAUUACACCAGCUAAAUUUCGACCGGAAUUAGUACCUGAGGAACUCAUGGCUCAAGGUUUAACACUAACAGUAGAAGAUUAUGUUCAUGUGAUGGAAAUACUGACAAAUGAUUUUAGGUUCAACAUUUACAAUAUAUGCUACAAACGCAUUCUUGUAGCCUGGAUAUUUACAGCAUUUGUUGUCCUACUUGGUCUUCUGUUUUCUGGGGUGACUGGUUUGACACUAUUUGGACUCGGUGUUAUGUGGCUCAUCCUGAAUGCUUUAGCAAUUUUUUUCUGUAUGUGGGUGAAAAUUAGGUUAAACCAUAACUUGGAGCGCUGUAUGGCACAAGUAAACAAGCACUUACUGAAGCACAGAAUCAUCCUGGGACUUGAUGAUAGAGGAAAGUUGUCUUGCCAUAAAGUGAAUUUAUGCUUCAUUUAUUUUGAUGCUGUUGAUUGCAUUAAAAAACUUCAAGAAGUAAUAGAAAGGGAGGAACGUGAAGGCCGUCCUGUAAACAGAGAGGAAACUGUUGAAGAGCGUAGACAGAGACAACAAUUUCAGCUGAGAAUGGACAUAGAAGAUCAUGACAUUAUUAUUCAGGGAAGCAACACAACAAGAGUGUCUCGGAAACAGCACUUAACUGCAUGCUCUAUCCAUUCACAAAGCUGACCAAGGAAUGGAAGGUUGAAGAAAUAUGUGGUGCUUGUUUUUCUUUCAAACAUUUGAAAAUUUUUCAUGUGGUAUUGGAACGUGCUGAGAUGGUUUUCCUUCGCUACUCACACCGAUGGGCUAAAGAAUUUGUCCGCAAACAUCUUGAGCUGUCAGUGGAUGGAGCAGGGCAUGGGGGCUUCCCCUCUGCACCUCCUCGACAUUGCAUUACCUC